UUAAACUACUAAGGGCACACGGUGGAUGCCUAGGCGUCAGAAGGCGAAGAAAGACGUGGCCAUCUGCGAUAAGCUCGGGGGAGCUGCGGCGAGCAUUGAUCCCGAGAUCUCUGAAUGGGGCAACCCGGCUGCUAAGGCAGUCAGCGCGAGAGCGUGGCAAACGAGGAGAACUGAACCAUCUAAGUACCCUCAGGAAAAGAAAUCAAAAGAGAUUCCCUCAGUAGUGGCGAGCGAACGGGGAAGAGCCCAAACCGGAUAAAGCGAUUUAUUCGGGGUUGUAGGGCGUUCGGAACGGAUAGGCGAGAGAAUUUGAAUCUGUGUGGAAAACGGAACCAGAGAAGGUGAAAGUCCUGUAAAAGUAAUGUCGACUAUCCAAGAGCGUACCUGAGUACCACGAAGCCAGUGGAACUUUGUGGGAAGCAGGGUGUACCAUCAUCCAAGGCUAAAUACUACCUGACGACCGAUAGUGAACAAGUACCGUGAGGGAAAGGUGAAAAGCUCCCCAGCGAGGGAGGUGAAAUAGAACCUGAAACCGUGUGCCUACAAAUAGCGAGAGCACUAUUUGCUUGCAAAGUGUGAUCGCGUGCCUUUUGCAUAAUGAGCCUGCGAGUUACGAUAACUAGCGAGGUUAAGCCGAUAGGUGGAGCCGCAGCGAAAGCGAGUCUGAAGAGGGCGACGAGUUAGUUGUUGUAGACCCGAAACCGAGUGAUCUAUCCAUGGUCAGGAUGAAGUUUGGGUAACACCAAAUGGAGGUCCGCACCCACUAACGUUGAAAAGUUAGGGGAUGAACUGUGGAUUGGAGUGAAAGGCUAAACAAACUCGGAGAUAGCUGGUUCUCCCCGAAAUGUAUUUAGGUACAGCCUCUGACGAACGUUACUGGAGGUAGAGCACUGAAUAGGCUAGGGCCUUCACCAGGGUACCAAACCUAAUUAAACUCCGAAUGCCAGUAAACGAUAUCAGGGAGUGAGACAGUGAGAGCUAAGUUCCAUUGUCGAGAGGGAAAGAGCCCAGACCAUCAGCUAAGGUCCCCAAGUCAAUACUAAGUGGAGAAGGAUGUGGGAAUGCCCAGACAACCAGGAGGUUGGCUUAGAAGCAGCCACCCUUUAAAGAAAGCGUAAUAGCUCACUGGUCGAGUGCACCUGCGCCGAAAAUGUAACGGGGCUAAAGUAUUGCACCGAAGCUAUGGAUGUGUGUUUUAAGCACACGUGGUAGGGGAGCAUUCUGUAGGAGCGAGCCAUACCGCGAGGAGUGGUCGGGGCUUACAGAAGCGCAUAUGCAGGCAUGAGUAGCGAUAAAAGAAGUGAGAAACUUCUUCGCCGAAAACCACAGGUUUUCUGGGUCAAGCUAAUCUGCCCAGAGUUAGUCGGCCCCUAAGCCAAGGCUGAAAAGCGUAGGUGAUGGGAAACAGGUUAAUAUUCCUGUACCACUGUGGUGCUACUGAGAAGGAAGGACGGAGAAGGCAAGAGUCAGCGGUGAUGUGGAAUAACCGUUUAAAGCUUGUAGAUGGAGGCCCUAGGAGUACCAGUUACACAAACGGGGUCUUGGUAACAUUGAGGAGUGAUAAGGAAGGGCCGUAAAGGUCCUACAAACUGAUUGGCGCCCUGCUUCCGAGAAAAGUUUCGAUUCAGGCUAAGCACUGGAGUGACCGUACCGUAAACCGACACAGGUAGGUAAGGAGAGUAUCCUAAGGCGCUUGAGAUAACUCUGGUUAAGGAACUAGGCAAAUUGACACCGUAACUUCGGGAGAAGGUGUGCCCCCAUUAGGUGAAGCUCAUACGACUAGUAUACGGGCGGAGCUGAAGGGGGUGGCAGCAAAGCGGGGGUAGCGACUGUUUACCAAAAACAUAGGACUCUGCAAACUCGCAAGAGGAGGUAUAGGGUCUGACGCCUGCCCGGUGCUGGAAGGUUAAGUGGAGCAGUUAGUGUCUUAAGAUGCGAAGCUGUGAAACGAAGCCCCAGUAAACGGCGGCCGUAACUAUAACGGUCCUAAGGUAGCGAAAUUCCUUGUCGGGUAAGUUCCGACCUGCACGAAUGGUGUAACGACUUCCCCACUGUCUCAACCAGAGACUCAGCGAAAUUAAACUGUGCGUGAAGAUGCGCACUACCCGCAGAUAGACGGAAAGACCCCGUGAACCUUUACUAUAGCUUGGCACUGAUUUUCGGGCUGGUUUGUGUAGGAUAGGUGGGAGGCUGCGAAGCCGGGACGCUAGUUUCGGUGGAGCCACCCUUGAAAUACCACCCUGGCCAGUUUGGAAAUCUCACCUGCACGUGUUAACCACGUGGGGGACAAUGCCUGGUGGGUAGUUUGACUGGGGCGGUCGCCUCCUAAAGAGUAACGGAGGCUCACGAAGGUUCCCUCAGGCUGAUUGGAAACCAGCCAAAGAGUGUAAAGGUAUAAGGGAGCUUGACUGCAACACCGACGGGUGGAGCAGGUGCGAAAGCAGGUCUUAGUGAUCCGGUGGUUCCGCAUGGAAGGGCCAUCGCUCAAAGGAUAAAAGGUACUCCGGGGAUAACAGGCUUAUCUCCCCCAAGAGUUCACAUCGACGGGGAGGUUUGGCACCUCGAUGUCGGCUCAUCGCAUCCUGGGGGCAUCUAAGUGGGAAGCCCCCUCCAAGAUAAGAGAUCCUGGACGUAUGUCCCCUAAAGGUCCGUUGGAGACUACAACGUUGAUAGGCAAGGUGUGGAAGCGUAGCGAUACGUGGAGCUAACUUGUACUAAAUGACCGGGCAGUUUAGUUAUUUUCUUCCUUGUGUACUUAAGGGCAAAUUCAAAUCAUCUCAAAGUUUCCCGGUGAAGUUAGCAAAGUGGCCACACCCGAACCCAUCCCGAACUCGGAAGUUAAGCACUUUAGCGCCGAUGGUACUGCAGGGGUAGCUCUGUGGGAGAGUAGGACAUCGCCGGGUUUUUUAUUUUUGGCCCCGUGCCCCUACAGGUACCAGGGCCUUUUCGCU
Molecule: ribosomal RNA, 2951 nt
Filed under: oral metagenome
Source: RNAcentral